AAAAAGGAAAUGGGUGAUUGAAGAAGGAAGCAAUUGUGGACAACUAAGGGAAUAAAGAUAAGAUUCUUCUUCUAUUAAGCUUCUCACUUUGGGUGUCUACACACAUAUACUCUUUCACUUUCUUUGUUGGCCAGGCAGUGGAUGUGUGUGACUCAAGUAAAAACCCCCAUCGUUUGAUCAUAAUACUGGCAUAGACGAUAUGUUUAUGGUACCAAAUAAAAUGGUACAUACACAGGGCGGUGAGAGCAUAUGUGCUAACUUGACAUUGGCCAAAAAGAACACAAAAGGUGAUUAAUUUCCCCAUUUGCCUUUUGCUUGCUUUCCACUCAACUCAGGCUUCCCCGCUCUCUCACAGCAAUGAUCUUCUAUGAUGAUAUGGAUGCAUCCUUUUGUGUCUUUUUUAAUCCUAUGAGACCAGUGAUGUUUGAAC
RNAcentral lists this long non-coding RNA (430 nucleotides) under Linum usitatissimum (flax). RNAcentral describes it as "long non-coding RNA (LUSI_LNC003714)". The record is from RNAcentral. Lineage: Eukaryota; Viridiplantae; Streptophyta; Magnoliopsida; Malpighiales; Linaceae.